This 221-nucleotide unclassified non-coding RNA is filed under the name Carex chordorrhiza. RNAcentral describes it as "partial internal transcriber spacer 2". The record is from RNAcentral. Lineage: Eukaryota; Viridiplantae; Streptophyta; Magnoliopsida; Poales; Cyperaceae.
GCCCAUCCACGCUCGGUUGCCUAUCGGCAAAGAUGCGGACAUUGGCCCUCCGAACCGCGAGGUGCGGUGGGCCUAAGUGUGCGGCCGUCGUAUGUGGCCGGGAGCGGCGAGUGGUGGGCUACUGCGCACGUCACCCCGAGCCCCGUACCGACACAGGACCUUUUUUGACCCCAAACGAGGAGCUUGCCGUCGCGGCUUGCGCUGCGCGGCGCCUUCGGACC